This 215-nucleotide ribosomal RNA is filed under the name uncultured Actinomycetales bacterium. RNAcentral's name for it is "partial 16S ribosomal RNA". It matches the Rfam family "Bacterial small subunit ribosomal RNA", at positions 118 to 334 of the family's 1533-position model. The record is from RNAcentral. Lineage: Bacteria; Bacillati; Actinomycetota; Actinomycetes; Actinomycetales.
UGAGUAACCUGCCCUUGACUUUGGGAUAACUUCAGGAAACUGGGGCUAAUACCGGAUAGGAGCUCCUGCUGCAUGGUGGGGGUUGGAAAGUUUCGGCGGUUGGGGAUGGACUCGCGGCUUAUCAGCUUGUUGGUGGGGUAGUGGCUUACCAAGGCUUUGACGGGUAGCCGGCCUGAGAGGGUGACCGGCCACAUUGGGACUGAGAUACGGCCCAG